CACAGCUUCAAUGCACCUUGGCAUAGAUUCUACAAGUGUCUGGAACUCUAUUGGAGGGAUGCGACACCAUUCUUCAGUGUUGAUUUCCAUAAUCUGGUGUUUUGUUGAUUGGGGUGGAAAACGCUGUCUCAUGCGCCGCUCCAAAAUCUUCCCUUCCCAGAAACACUUGGUCUACCAGGAGACACUCUGACGCACACACCACGACCUGGCUGGGAUCAGCAAGGCCUCAUCCUGCCGUUACUAUACCUGCACACACCUAUGCAGGCACGCAGGUUCUCAUCCACAUCACAAUGGAUGCUUUCAUUAGCCAAACAUCUUGGGAAGAAUCUUCAGGCAUGGCGAAUCCAGGCCUGACACUGGUCUGCCGUGAUGUCAUUGUAUGCGUCAUCCAUGGCCUGGAGAAGGGUGGCUUGUUCCUGAGGGCGCCUAUCAUAUACCUUCCAACUCCAUGUGGAGAAAAAAAAUCCUCAAUCGGGUUAAGGAAAGGAGAGUAUGGGGUGAGAGGCCUUGGCAUUUCAACCACCACAACAAGGCUGUGACCUUUGCAGCCAUCUCCACCU
Molecule: long non-coding RNA, 560 nt
Filed under: Salmo salar (Atlantic salmon)
Lineage: Eukaryota; Metazoa; Chordata; Actinopteri; Salmoniformes; Salmonidae
Description: lncRNA (ENSSSAG00000095860.1, ENSSSAG00000110858.1)
Source: RNAcentral